UGGCGGACGGGUGAGUAACGCGUGAGAAUCUAGCUUCAGGUUGGGGACAACAGUUGGAAACGACUGCUAAUACCGAAUAUGCCGAGAGGUGAAAGAUUAAUUGCCUGGAGAAGAGCUCGCGUCUGAUUAGCUAGUUGGUGGGGUAAGAGCUUACCAAGGCGACGAUCGGUAGCUGGUCUGAGAGGACGAUCAGCCACACUGGGACUGAGACACGGCCCAGACUCCUACGGGAGGCAGCAGUGGGGAAUUUUCCGCAAUGGGCGAAAGCCUGACGGAGCAAUACCGCGUGAGGGAAGAAGGCUCUUGGGUUGUAAACCUCUUUUCUUAGGGAAGAAAAAAAUGACGGUACCUAAGGAAUAAGCAUCGGCUAACUCCGUGCCAGCAGCCGCAGUAAUACGGAGGAUGCAAGCGUUAUCCGGAAUGAUUGGGCGUAAAGCGUCCGCAGGUGGCAGUGAAAGUCUGCUGUCAAAGGUCAGGGCUUAACCCUGAACAGGCAGUGGGAAC
RNAcentral lists this ribosomal RNA (504 nucleotides) under uncultured bacterium. RNAcentral's name for it is "bacterial SSU rRNA". It matches the Rfam family "Bacterial small subunit ribosomal RNA", at positions 96 to 633 of the family's 1533-position model. The record is from RNAcentral.